CUAUACCAGGACAAGGAAGAAGGGACACGUUUGCUCUGUGCCUGCUUGCUCUCACCUUGCUAGCAAGUCCAUUGCUUCACUUAAGCUUCUCUUGAGAAAGACCCCCAUAGACUCAUAGAUUUGAAUACAUGGUCACCAGGGAGUGGCACUAUUUGAAAGGAUUGGGAGGUGUGGCCUUGUUGGAGGAAAAUGUUACUGGAGGUGGGCUUUGAGGUUUCAAAAAAGCCCAUUCCAAAUCGAGAGUCUUCCUCUUCCUGCUGCCUGCAGAUCUGGAUGUAGCUACUUCUCCAGCAUCAUGUCUGCCUGUAUGCCACCAUGCUCCCUACCAUGAUGAUAAUGGACGACACUUCUGAAACUGUUCCAGGAUUAUAGGCAUGCACUACCACACCAGCUGGAAAAUUCCUUUGAAAAGAAAUAUGGGUGCCGGAGAGAUGGGUCAGUGUUAGGAACAUUUGCUGUUGCUCCAGAGGACCUGAGUUCAAUUUUAAGGAUUCCCAGUGGAGAUAAGUGUAGACUCACCUCUCAUCAAAGAAGCCUCUUUACAGAAAGUGGAGACCAUCCCAGAAAGCCACGACUGGACACAGUGCAGAGAGCAAUGGACCACAAGGAGCUCAGCCCCAUUAGAUAUACCUACAUUACAUCUCUGGCAUCUACGUUUCAUGGGGACCAUCAUAAAAAUGGGGCUAAGGAGGGAAUCGGGCAUGGGUUGGGGAGGGAGGCUGGAGGGGCGGGAGGAGGAAAGAGAGGGGAAUCUGUGGUUGGUAUGUAAAAUGAAUAAAAAGUUUCUUAAUAAAAAAAGGGGGAAGGCUGGAAGAUUGUAAAGGCCAGAAUAUCAGGAAGUCUGCUGUGAAACAGUCUUUCAUAGACAUGGCUGCAUAAACAAAAUCUGAACAAUGGCAAUGUCUAUAGACACGUUAGUGCAAAGGGGAAGAAGUCAUAUGGGGUCACACCCCUGGAAAAGGAACUACAGGCCACUGAUGAUUGCUGAGAGAUGGAGAGUUUGCCUUGCCCAGAGACGGAGCACCUAAUACGUUGUCCAAAACAAAGUGGUUCGCACUGAAACCCUAUACAUACAAAAGCAGCUUAUAUUUAUAUACUUGUGCAUACAUAUAUAUGCAUACAUACAUAAAUACAUCCACCCAUCCAUUCAUAUGUACACACAUAUAUGUGACAAUAAUUAUCAAUGAAGAUGAGGAGAUCAAUUUGAAAGUUGGGGGACAGACAUGGAAGGAGUUGGUAAGAGGAGACUUGGAGGGGCUGGAGGGAGAAAAGGGGAAAGUGAUGUGAUUACAUUUUAUUUUAAAAUGUAUAAUAAAAUGUACAAAAAUUUAUAAACAUAAAAAGUUAUAAUGCAACCAAAAUAAUUAGCAAACAUACAGCUGUUGGGAAAGAAAUGUCUUAAUGAUUAAUUCAGUGAUUCUCAAUCUGUGGGUCAUGACCCCCUGCAGGGUUCACAUAUCAGAUAUUGUGCAUGUCAGAUAUUUACAUUAUGAUGCAUAACAGUAGCAAAAUUACAGUUAUGAAGUAGCAAUGAAAUAAUUUUAUGGUUGGGGGUCACUACAGCAUGAGGUGCAACAUUAGGAAAGUUGAGAAGCACAGGAUUAAUAGACUAUUUUGCUUAACUUACAGUCAGUAAAUAUUAUAAUAUGCACACACACAUAUGUGCAAUAUAUAUAUU
This is a long non-coding RNA of Peromyscus eremicus (cactus mouse), 1678 nucleotides long. RefSeq lists it as uncharacterized. The record is from RefSeq and is a predicted model, not a curated record. The transcript is spliced from 3 exons. NCBI's taxonomy places the organism in Eukaryota, Metazoa, Chordata, Mammalia, Rodentia, Cricetidae.